GCCGUUCCUGCGACCCGGUCGACGGAGUGGAAAGGGGGGGUAAGCGUUAUAGUGCCCUGGUCGUUCGAACGCUUAGGGCCCGAAAGCGUUAGGUUCACCCAAAUAGACGCUAAAUAAUGAUUUGGCUUGGCUCCGUAUAUUAUUUUUAAAUAGGUGUCGCUAAAGUGAUGGACGCGACGAGAGCUCCAUUCUGCCCGUGCGGACUUCGGCCGUGCCCCUGGCUUCUCGUGUUUUUCACUAGCUUUGUGGAAGGUAAUGUGGUUUGUCUGCAUGUCGUCGCCGCUUUUUCCUGUUUGAAGUAGACAAGUAAAACUCUUGCUUGGGCUAGUUGGUUCAUGGUAAACUGAUCAACGAGACAAGUUCCUCGAGAUGAGAUAGGAGACAACAUGAAGUCAUAGGUGAAGUUUUCUGUAAGUGUGUCGUUUAAAUAGGUUGUGGUUUGGCCCUUGUGCUAUGUGCGUCAGUGAAAUUUGCCUGUGCCCGUGUUCAUGUUGCCCAGCAGCCUUUUAGAAGGUGAUUAUGUGGUUUCUGCGCAGGACGUUGCCGCUUUUGUUAGUUUCUACGGGGUCGCUGUGUCCUGCGAAGGCACGCAGAUGCGAAUGGAACUUUUCCGCCUGCUUCGUAGAUAGCGAUAUGUCUCUCGAAGUCAGCUCCACAGCAAACAGUGCACAUAAAGCGUCUAGUUUAUGUGGUUUAUGAAUGGGUGCUAGCGUGAACUUCUGUGUGUGUAACUAAAUCUUCGUGCUGUGUGCCCAUCGCUUGCACAUCGGGCCGCCGGCAACGGAUGUGCUAUAGUAUGCUUCACCGUAAUGUACCAUACUUGUAUCGCAUUGAAGCACUCGGUUCACAGUGGUCCCACCGCAAUACAUCUGUGUAAUGCGGUGAAUGAUACAAAUUGUCUUGCGGUUUACGGGAAGGGAGAAUGUGCAAACUGCAAGCGCAACUACUCAUCUCUCUGAGGACUAAUACUGUGAUUGCUACUACAUUGAUUUGUUGGAGGUGUCUGAUAUGCUAAGGCUUGUUACAAAGACUAUUGUGCUUGUAGAAACGUAGUAAGAGUCUCACGCGCCGUCUCUGGCCACAGUACGAGCACAUAGGGCCAUGACCCCAAAACAAGGGGCCGAAAUUGCUUCAGCGAACAUCAGAAGCAGCUCAUAAUGGCUUCCAGUGUGUGUAUAAGUAAGGAACGCGUACCAGAGACUGGUUUACGGUCUCAUCAUUCGCGGUGCGUAACAUAGGUGAAAGAAGUGCUCAAAUCUCCAAAGCCGCGCCCGAGAUAAUUUUUUACACCUGUGAGUGGUGCGCCUAAAACAGCGGGUGCGCGCGUGCACAAUUAAGGAACACGCAUUAGCAGUAACAGUCGCCCCCUUUCACUUUAUGAUCACCGCCUAGCACGGAUGUACUGCGGCGAAGCUGACUUAAGGGAGUCGAAUUAUGCAACGUUUCUUUACUGUUAGUAAGGUACUGUACUGAUUUAGUCAUUGAGGAUCCAUGUAUUGUAAACUAGAAUGAAAGCUUAACAGCACGUUUUCAUUGAUGCUGUUCAAUAUUGUAAAGAAUUUCUGUUGAACUGGCAGCAUAGGCUUGCCACCUUUUAUUUCUGUAAAAUUCAUGGUCAUCAAAAUUUCCAUUGCAUGAUUUUACGCUUUUAAAAUAGCCUUGUGUUUUUUCCGAGUUAACCUUAUUUGGUGCUACAUCUGGUAAAGUAUAAGUGAAACUAAGUGUGGUAAAUGCCAAAGAAAUCGCAUACAUUUUUCUUGUUUGCUCUUGUGGAAGCACCAUAUUGUUGACAUUAUAAGGCAUACUGUCAAUAACAUAUUGUUUACAAGCUGAACACUUUGCAUUUCCAGCCUAAUUUAACUCUUUAGGCAAUUCUGCAGGACCAGUUUUGGAACAACACAAUCGCAGUUCUGUAAUAUAAUCAAAACAUUUGCAGUGCCCGGGUUAUUUUGUAAUGGUUUUACUUAUUACAUUGAUGAAGGCCAAAAAUAGCAGUUUUGUAUGGUCCAUCAUAAAUUAGUGUAGGCAUUUUUAUUGGCAGUGUUAAGUGAACAAAAUCUUGUCAUGUGCUGCAGUAAUUGGUAUCAGUGAUUCAUUCGUUUGCUUUAUCUCUAGACAAUAAUGGUCAAAUAGAUGUAAUAUUUUUAGAUUUCAGAAAAGCCUUCGAUUAGGUUCCGCACGACAAAUUAAUCUUCAAACUUAGAAUUAUUGGCAUACCUGUCAUUUUCAUAAACUGGAUUAUUGCUUACCUGAGCAAACGCACUCACUUUGUUACAAUUGGUGAACAUAGCUCGGCCACUCUCCCAGUCAUAUCAGGGGUGCCAGAAGGUGGUGCCUUGGGGCCUUUACUGUCUCUAAUGUAUAUAAAUGACAUUGUUAAAACCAUAACUCCCAGUGUGCAAAUUAGACUGUUUGCCGAUGAUUGUAUUUUAUACAGUGAUGUAACUUGUCAGAAUGAUCAGACUGUCCUCAAAAAGGAUUUAAAUAACAUAAUGAAGUGGUGUAAUGAAUGGGGUAUGUUUAUUAAUGCUGAUAAAUUCGUAUUUCUUCGUAUUACUCUUAAAAAGAACCACUAACUUAUACGCUAGGUUCUUCAUCUCUGCGUGAGACUAACAAUUACAAAUACAUAGGUGUUACUUUGACUUCCACAUUGUCGUGGAACAUGCACAUUAAUGAUAUUUGUUCUGCUUUCCGCAAACCCUGUUUCCUAAGACACAAACUGAAAAAUGCCCCGCCUAAUGUGAAAUUACUGUUUUUUUUGCUUUCAAUAGACCAAAGUUAGAGUAUGCAUGUAUAUCAUGGGAUCCUUACGCUAAGUCAAAUAUUGUGCGUCUUGAAAAAAUGCAAAGAGAGGCAGUUAGGUUUAUAUUUCAUAAAUUCGUAAGACUGGACUCUCCCUCUAAAAUUAUGACAGAAAAUUCCAUACCCACUCUUGAAUCACUCCGAAUGAUGCUAAGGCUUGAAUUCCUUUCCCUUCUUCUCAACAAGCUUGAAAUUAAACCAUCGACUCACAUAACACCUGCACUAACACGGCACACAAGACAGCAUCAUCCGGACUCACUAACACCCUAUUAUGUUUGAACUGACACGUUUAAAUUUUCUUUUUUUUUUUUCCAGAACAAUAUCAGACUGGAAUGACAGUUUACAGAUAGAGUGUGACUAAAAAUUGUAUAAAUUUGUAUUCGCUUGUCCCUAAUUUGUUCUCUUUUGUUUGUAUGCAUUCUAUUGCCCCUCUGCUUGGACUGAAAGGUCUGUAGUAGGUACUAAAUAAAUAAAUAAAAUACUGAUCUUCCUUUACUUAUGCAGCUGUACUUGUUUUUUUUUAAUGUUGAUCUCAUUAAAUUUACAUCAGUAGAUUAUUGGCAUCAGUACAGGUUUCAGAAAGUUAUAUCACUUAAAAAAGUACAGUACUUAAUAUUUGGGAAAGCUUGUCUAAUAUAAAGAGCCAAUGAAAUACUUUGGUAUUUCCUUAGACAUUACAAAGCAUUUCAUUGAAUGAAUGAAUGAAUGAAUGAAUGAGGGUUUUUUAUUGACAAAAUACAGUACAAGGGAAUAUUAUACAGGAGGAGGUCCCGACGUCAAAGACUAAUGGGACCUCCUGUACAGCGUAUAAGUAAAAAUAUAAACACUUGCAACAAAUAAUGUAAAAAAUAAAAAAAAAAUAGGAAACAUAGUAUUGGUUGUAUUAAUUUGUAUUAGCAGCACUAAUACAAAUUAGCUACAAACAUGUAAACAAGUAAAGAAGUAUAAUAAUUAUGACAUUUGACUAAUUAUGCCAUUAUGAAAGUAAAUGGAUAAUGAAACACAACCAAGCAAACUUUUAUUUGUGUAGCAUAAGUUUUAACAAAAUGUACAUUUGGAAGGGAGGAAUGAAAAAAAAAAAAAGACAAGUGGUUGCAGAUGAUAAAAUGUGGUCUUUUAGUUCUAGUUAAUGAUAUACAUGAUUUAAUUGUAGGAGGUAGUGUGUUCAAGAAGGAAAUGGGCAAAAAAUGGAUACUCUGCUAACCAUAAUUUGUGCGUACCUUGGGAAGAAUAAUAAUAUUGUUAAGUGCAAAUCGCCUAAGAUUAGUAUUCAUUAGACAAGAGGUAUCAGCCUGUUCCAGUGAGCAUUACCUAGUUGUUGGCAUAAAAAUGUACCAAGAUUAAGGUUAAUAAGUUCAUCUACGGUAAGAAUGUUGUAAUUACGUAAUAACUGUUUGGAAUUGAAAUGGUUCAAAUUAAAUGUAAUUCUAACAGCCUAGUUUUGUAAUACUUGUAAUGAUUCUAAGUGGGUAAGUGUUUUGUGGUUCAAUGCAUACCGAGCUUUUAAAAGUGUCCUUAUUUCAUAUGUUGCCUUCUGCCUAAUGUUUGCUAUGUGUUGAUAAAAUUUAAGGUUAGAAUCAAGUUCUACACCCAAAUAGUUACAGGAAGUACUAUAAUCAAGGGUUCGACGAAAGUUCGUCUGGUCAGGCAUGGAAAUGAAGGGGAUCACGCUCAUUUGACCAAGUCUGAUGUAUAAUCCGACGUUUCGGAACUGCGUACGGGUUCCUUGUUUACUGAGUUGGACAGGAAAUCAUCAUCAGUUAUGUAGCCAGCACGUGAUGUAAUAAGCGUGCGUAAAUGGCAGGCAUAGUCCCUGGUGUCCGGUUCAUCAUAGCUGGCGUCGAUUGAAUGAUUAGCGAUUCUAUCAGCCGCCGGGAUGACAUGUUCUUUUCUUUGGCAACAAUAUUAGCAUUGUCCCAGUCAAUCUUGUGACUGUGUUCUUGCGCAUGCUCAGCAAUGGCGUUCGUCGUGUGACUAUUAUUUCUUACAUCACAUUUAUGGUCCUUGAGGCAUCUGGAGACCUUCCGUGUUUCACCAAUAUAUACUUUGUGGCAAUCAGCGCAUGGUAUCUUAUACACGACCGCUGGGAAUGAUUCAACAGUGCAUUGUCGCCUGAGGAGACGCGUAUGGCGCAUGUUAUCAAGGACAACACUACGGACGUCUUGUGGCCGACAGGAUAACAAGAAUUAAACCUGAGGUAACAACCUUUGUGCGCAGGCUUCCUGUAUACUCAGAAGGCGAGAGCGCCCCCAUCCCGACGAAUCAGUACAUCCAAUAAAGGCAACAAGUUGUCCCUCUCGUGUCCAGCGGUGAAUUGUAUGUGUGCAUUUUGGGCAGUCAGGCAGUCCAGGAAGCGUUGUAUGUCUUGCUUCUUCAAAAUACAGAAGCAGUCAUUUUACGUAGCGAUAAAAAACUUUAGGGGCCGGGUUGAAUGUGGCCAGCACCUUUCCUUCCAAGGCUUCCAUUACUAUAUUGGCCGUGGUAACCAAUAUUGGCGCUCCAUCACCAUGCCAUGCGUUUGCUGAUAAAGGCUGCCACCAUAAGAAAAAUUAUUGCUUAGACAAAACCACAGCAGUUCGGGGACAUCGAAGGACAUGCAACCAGGAAGACCACUCUCUGCUUCUAGGGCUUCUUAUCACAUGGCUACUGCCAAAUUCACUGGGACACUAGUGAAAAGCGAUGUGACGUCGAACGAGACCAUGGCGUCAUCUUCACUCAGCGUGAUGUCCUUUACCUUUUUCUUUAUGAGUCGUGUAUAAAAUACUAUGCGCUGAUUGCCACAAAAAAUAUAUUGGUGAAACAGGGAAGUUCUCCAGACGCCUCAAGGACCAUAAACGUGACGUAAGAAAUAAUAGUCACAUGACGAAUGCCAUUGCCGAGCAUGUGCAGGAACAUAGCCACAAGAUUGACUGGGACAAUGCCACUGUUGUUGCCAAAGAAAAGAACAUGUCAUCCCGGUGGCUGCUAGAAUCGCUAAUCAUUCAAUCGACGCCAGCUACGAUGAACCGGACACGCCGGACACACCGGACGCAUGUUUGUUACGUCACGUGCUGGCUACAUAAGUGACGACGAUUUUCUGUUCAACUCAAGCAACACGUGCCCGGUUCCGAAAUGCGGGUUAUACAUCAGACUUGGUCAGUGACCGUGAUCCCCUUCAGGAAGUACUAUGUGCAAUAAGAUUAUUACCAAGUUAAAAUGAAGGAAUGAAUGCGGAUGAGCGUUGGUGGGACAAGACUAAAAUUUAGUUUUAGACAAGCUUAUAUUGAGCUGGUUAAUACUGCACGAAUUUAACACGUUGUUUAAGUCAGUAUUAAGUUUCGAAACUAGGUUCCCUACACAAAUGUCAGGGUUAUAGAUGUGUCAUAUGUGUAAAGAAUGUAGUAAGAAGAAAGCAGGCAAUUAGGCAGGUUGUUACAGUUCAUUCUGUCAAACAUGACACAGGGCAUGUUUCUAAGUUUAUUCAUAACUAUUGAACGAACUGCAGAAUGUUUCUUUAAACGUGAGGACCAGUCUACACCCUUUGGGUGCUGUACAUUGUUGGCACAUGCAUAUAUUGUGGUGUAAAGGUUGUAUCAGGCUGAAUGGUAUAUCCAGUGAUGCAGCACCAAAAUUUGCAAAACCAAAAUUUUUGGUAUAGUUGAAAAACUAACUAAAAAAUAUUAUAGUUUGAAAAUAACGAAUGUCAAAGGAAACCCCAAGAAUAUGGUUCGUCCAUAAAUUAUGCAAGAAUACUUCAAAGAAAAAAAAGGAAAUCUGCAAUUAGGUUCAUUGGGCAAAAAGAAAUAAAACUUCUUGCAUCUUAGGUGUUUGUACCAUGCAGUAAAGCAGCUCCCUAAUGUCAUGCACAAGUAAAUUGCCUUUGCAGUAAAAAACCUUAGACUUUUGUUUGAUGACUCUGCACAGCACUUCUCAUAGUUUCUACUCUUUUGUGGCUUCCAUCACCAGUCUUGAAGUUCUGAGGCCAUUAGUGGUUGGUCACUGUUAGUGACGAGCCAUAACAUCUGUGGAUGAGUUCGAUUCUGCAUUAAAACUGGUCAAAAUGUGGCCUUCUCUGAAGUGGUGGCAUUUCGUGGUAGUACUUGCAAUGCACAAGGAAAAUAAUGAACUUGUUUACAACACUGUAUAUAUAGUGAAAGAAGUUGUCUGCCACCUGCUUAUGCACCACGUCAAAACAGUGCAAAAUGUAAUCGGUGCUAUUUAUCGACAACCAGUCCAGCAUUAUAGUUGACACUUUACUCAUUUCUUGUAACCAGGAUGUGUUGGCAGUGUCAGCAGUAAUCAUUCUGUGUACUAAACAUCUUUCCUUUCCCUGCAAAUAUGAAAAUGUUGUGCAGAUCUGCGGUAAUUACAGUUUGCAUGCUUUCUUAACAGAUCAGGCAAAAAGCAAAGUUCAUGUCCCUUUAGCUAUUACACAAACACUACUGCAUGUUCUUGCAGUUGCAUCAAAAAUUCCAAUUUGACAAAAAAAAGAAGACAAUAUCAGAGCUGAUUAUUUAUUAUGUUAGCCUAUUUCUUAAGCUAAUAUAUUAUGUUAUGUGCUUGCCAAUCCAUUUGUAGAUGCAAUAAUUGGGUUGUAAAAUUAUUCAUUGCAUUAUUCAAGUUAUUCUGAAGUUAUAGCGAGUGGGGCUACACUAAUCCAGGUACAACCAAAUUAAGAAGGCCCACUAAGCUUGAACAAAGACACUCCCUCACCAGAACAGGAAUUGGCCUCCCUGGUGUAGUAUUCGGCCACAACCUCCCUAAUGAUAUCUUCGAUUAACCAAUGGCCCUCAGUCCCCAAUAGCUGCGGAGCACCUGACCAAGGCAGCGGUCAGACUUGCAACGCAGCAGAGGGUGCUAAGAGUCUCUGGGUCUGGACAGGCUGCCCAUGGAAACUGACCCUUGCAACGUUUAACACCCGAACCCACUCGAGUGAGGCUAGCUUAGCAGGACUCUUCAAAGAACUAUCAGACAUUGUUUGGGAUAUUAUCGGCCUUAGUGAGAUUAGAAGAGCUGGUGAGGCUUACACAUUGCUGAAUAACGGCCAUGUCCUCUGCUAUAGAGGUCUCCCAGAUAAGAAGCAACACAGGGUAGGACCUAAUCCAUAAGGACAAAGCAGGUAACAUUGACGAAUUCUACAGCAUCAACGAGAGGGUAGCAGUAGUCGUAAUCAGACUAAAUAAGAGGUAAAGAUUAAAGGUAGUACAAACCUACACUCCAACGUCCAGUCACGAAGAUGAGGAAGUAGAUAAGUUUUAUGAGGAUGUUGAAUUAGCGAUGAGAAAAGUGCAAAUGCGGUAUACAGUAGUAAUGGGUGACUUCAAUGCAAGAGCGGGGAAAAAGCAGGCGGGUGAACAGGCAGUUGGCAACUACGGUGGCGAUUCUAGAAACACUAGAGGAGAGAUGCUGGUAGAAUUCGCAGAAAGGAAUAAGCUGAGAAUAAUGAACACCUUUUUCAGGAAGCAUAGCCACAGAAAGGAGACCUGGAAAAGCCCUAAUGGUGAAACAAGAAAUGAAAUUGAUUUCAUACUUUCUGCUGAUCCCAGCAUAGUGCAGGAUGUAGAAGUGAUAGGUAGGGUAAAGUGCAGUGAUUUUAGGUUAGUGAGGGCCAGUAUUCACCUCAAUUUGAACAGAGAAAGAGUAAAAUUGGUCAAGAAAAAACAGGUCAACUUAGAGGCAGUAAGGGUAAAAGCAGACAAAUUUAGGCUGGCACUUGCAAACAAAUAUGCAGCCUUAGAACAGAGUGACGAUGAUCAUGACAUAGAGGUAAUGAAGGAAACUGUACUGAGGCUGGCUUCAGAGGCAGCAAUUGAAGUGGGAGGCAAGGCACCAAGGCAACCAGUAGGCAAGCUCUCCCAAGUAACAAAGGACCUAAUAAAGAAACGAAAAGAAUGAAAGUGUCCAACUCAAGAGAUGAGACAGAAUGCUCGAAACUAUCAAUACUGAUCAGCAAGGCGAAAAUAAGUGAUAUUCAAAAUUAUAACGUGAGAAAGACUGAAGAAGCCAUAAAAAAUGGACGCACCCUGAAAUCAGUGAGAAGAAAACUUGGCAUAGGACAAACCAAGAUGAAUGCACUGAAAUAUAAGCAGGAUAAUAUCAUCAGCAAUUUCGAAGGUAUAAUAAAAGCAUCGGAAGAAUUCUAUAUGACCUGUACAGUACCUAGAGGGCUCAGGAGUACUUUAUUCGAAACAGUGAACAGUAUACGGAAACUCCUCCUAUAUAACAGAAACUCCUCCUAGAGAUGAGGUCAGAAGGGCCUUGCAAGGCAUGAAAUGGGGAAAAGCGGCAGGAGAGGAUAGAAUAACAGUCGAUUUAAUCAAAGAUGGAGGACACACAAUGCUUGGAAAACUGGCGGCUCUCUAUACGAAGUGUCUAUCGACUGCAAGGGUCCCAGAAAACUGGAAGAAUGCAAACAUUAUACUAAUCCACAAAAAGGGCGACGUUAAAAAAACUGAAAAAUUAUAGGCCCAUUAGUUUACUCCCAGUAUUAUAUAAAAUAUUUACCAAAAUGAUCUCCAAUAGAGUAAGGGCAACAUUGGACUUUAGUCAACCAAGGGAGCAGACUGGCGUCAGGAAAGGAUACUCUACAUUGGAUCACAUCCAUGUCAUUAAUCAGGUUAUCGAGAAAUCCGCAGAGUACAAUAAGCCUCUCUAUAUGGCUUUCAUAGAUUACGAAAAAGCAUUUGAUUCAGUAGAGAUACCACCAGUCAUAGAGGCAUUGCAUAAUCAAGGAGUACAGACCGCUUAUGUAAAUACCAUGGAAAUUAUCUACAGAUUGCACAGCCACCUUAAU
Non-coding RNA from Dermacentor andersoni, 9574 nucleotides. NCBI's taxonomy places the organism in Eukaryota, Metazoa, Arthropoda, Arachnida, Ixodida, Ixodidae. The record is from RefSeq and is a predicted model, not a curated record.